Molecule: small nucleolar RNA, 139 nt
Filed under: Leersia perrieri
Lineage: Eukaryota; Viridiplantae; Streptophyta; Magnoliopsida; Poales; Poaceae
Description: snoRNA snoZ247
Rfam family: Small nucleolar RNA Z247
About the family: Z247 is a member of the C/D class of snoRNA which contain the C (UGAUGA) and D (CUGA) box motifs.
Source: Rfam by way of RNAcentral
CCACUCGAUGAUGAGGACAUCACAUCCUAUAUCUUGGCCGGCCUCGACGAUGAUUACAAGCCUCUGGUCUCCUCCAUUGUGGGGCGACCGGAGCAGGUAACUUUUUCAGAAUUAUACUCACAACUAUUGGACUUCGAGU